Molecule: unclassified non-coding RNA, 570 nt
Filed under: Bothriocephalus gregarius
Lineage: Eukaryota; Metazoa; Platyhelminthes; Cestoda; Bothriocephalidea; Bothriocephalidae
Description: partial ITS1
Source: RNAcentral
CGCGUUCCGAACUAUUGUUCCGCUGGGGCUGUGGGGGUGGCAGUAGUCCGUCUCUGUUACUUCGCUGGAGGGGGCGGGCGAUGGCUUUCCUUGCAGCUCUAUGCUACCAACUGGCCGCUCGUCUUAGUGGUCAAAUGGCUUACGGUGGGGUGCCUAGCCUGUCUAACACCCGUCAGGUGUGCUCGUCAGUGGUCAUAUCGUUGUCCUGCUCUCUUGUGUGUACAAUUGUCGCAUGCGUAGACAUGCCGAGAGCGUUAGGACUGUAUGGCUGCCGAAUGACCAGUCCAUACCGGGGCGACAGGGCAGUGCACAGCAAUGUGCGCGAGGCGUAAGAUGCAGGGUAUGUAAACUCCUACAGGGUUUACUGCCUACGCCCCAUCAUGAUUAUUGUUUUUACACGGUGUCGAUGAUGGGUAUGUGCUUAAUACUGUACAUGCCCUAGACAAAAGUUUUGUGCCAUUUCGGUGGUGCAGGACAGGGUUCACGCCUUGUUGGUUGGCAACAGCCCAAGUUCUUGUGAGCCUAAUAAGAUCGGCGCCGCUCUUCGGGGCAUGGUCGUCGGUCGCUUGU